AACGAACGCUGGCGGCAUGCCUAACACAUGCAAGUCGAACGAGACCUUCGGGUCUAGUGGCGCACGGGUGCGUAACGCGUGGGAACCUGCACUUAGGUUCGGAAUAACUCCCCGUAAGGGGUGCUAAUACCGGAUAAUGUCUUCGGACCAAAGAUUUAUCGCCUUUGGAUGGGCCCGCGUUGGUUUAGCUGGUUGGUAGUGUAAAAGCCUACCAAGGCGACGAUCCAUAGCUGGUCUGAGAGGAUGAUCAGCCACACUGGGACUGCGACACGGCCCAGACUCCUACGGAAGGCAGCAGUGGGGAAUAUUGGACGAUGGGCGAAGGCCUGAUCCAGCAAUGCCGCGUGAGUGAUGAAGGCCUUAGGGUUGUAAAGCUCUUUUACCCGGGGUGAUAAUGACGGUACCGGGUGAAUAAGCUCCGGCUAACUCCGUG
Molecule: ribosomal RNA, 433 nt
Filed under: uncultured bacterium
Lineage: Bacteria
Description: partial 16S ribosomal RNA
Rfam family: Bacterial small subunit ribosomal RNA
Source: RNAcentral